This 470-nucleotide ribosomal RNA is filed under the name uncultured Anoxybacillus sp. Its description in RNAcentral is "bacterial SSU rRNA". It matches the Rfam family "Bacterial small subunit ribosomal RNA", at positions 916 to 1381 of the family's 1533-position model. Lineage: Bacteria; Bacillati; Bacillota; Bacilli; Caryophanales; Anoxybacillaceae. The record is from RNAcentral.
GGACGGGGCCCGCACAAGCGGUGGAGUAUGUGGUUUAAUUCGAAGCAACGCGAAGAACCUUACCAGGUCUUGACAUCCCCUGACAACCCGAGAGAUCGGGCGUUCCCCUUCGGGGGACAGGGUGACAGGUGGUGCAUGGUUGUCGUCAGCUCGUGUCGUGAGAUGUUGGGUUAAGUCCCGCAACGAGCGCAACCCUCGACCUUAGUUGCCAGCAUUCAGUUGGGCACUCUAAGGUGACUGCCGGCUAAAAGUCGGAGGAAGUGGGGAUGACGUCAAAUCAUCAUGCCCCUUAUGACCUGGGCUACACACGUGCUACAAUGGGCGGUACAAAGGGUCGCGAACCCGCGAGGGGGAGCCAAUCCCAAAAAGCCGCUCUCAGUUCGGAUUGCAGGCUGCAACUCGCCUGCAUGAAGCCGGAAUCGCUAGUAAUCGCGGAUCAGCAUGCCGCGGUGAAUACGUUCCCGGGCCUU